Molecule: ribosomal RNA, 448 nt
Filed under: uncultured bacterium
Lineage: Bacteria
Description: bacterial SSU rRNA
Rfam family: Bacterial small subunit ribosomal RNA
Source: RNAcentral
ACGCCAGACUCCUACGGGAGGCAGCAGUAGGGAAUCUUUCACAAUGGGCGAAAGCCUGAUGGAGCAACGCCGCGUGCAGGAUGAAGGCCUUCGGGUUGUAAACUGCUUUUAUAAGCGAGAAAUAUGAUGGUAACUUAUGAAUAAGGAUCGGCUAACUACGUGCCAGCAGCCGCGGUAAUACGUAGGGGGCGAGCGUUAUCCGGAUUCACUGGGUGUAAAGGGAGCGUAGACGGCCAUGCAAGCCAGGGGUGAAAGGCCGGGGCCCAACCCCGGGACUGCCCUUGGAACUGCAUGGCUGGAGUGCGGGAGGGGCAGGCGGAAUUCCUGGUGUAGCGGUGAAAUGCGUAGAUAUCAGGAGGAACACCGGUGGCGAAGGCGGCCUGCUGGACUGCAACUGACGUUGAGGCCCGAAAGCGUGGGGAGCAAACAGGAUUAGAUACCCCGGUAA